Molecule: long non-coding RNA, 204 nt
Filed under: Bos taurus (domestic cattle)
Lineage: Eukaryota; Metazoa; Chordata; Mammalia; Artiodactyla; Bovidae
Description: long non-coding RNA NONBTAT024188
Source: RNAcentral
AAAAAAAAAAGAAAAUAUAGUGAUCUGUAUUCAUGAUUAGCCUUAUAAAAAUUUGAAUUGCUGAUAGUGAUGGUCUCUUGGAAAGUAAAGAACAUUUGUGUGGUCAUACCUGAGAAAUCAUGGAACAGAAGGUUAACCAUUGUCAGCUAGUUAACUCUGCUGUGUUUAGUUUUUAGAAACUGUAAAUAGUCUUCUAAAGUGAUA